RNAcentral lists this ribosomal RNA (651 nucleotides) under uncultured marine eukaryote. RNAcentral's name for it is "SSU rRNA". It matches the Rfam family "Eukaryotic small subunit ribosomal RNA", at positions 614 to 1266 of the family's 1831-position model. The record is from RNAcentral.
UGUGGUUAAAAAGCUCGUAGUUGGAUCUCGGCGGACUGAGGGCGGUUUGCUUGCUAGUAUUACUGCCCUAUAGUCCGUAGUUUUGCCAGAGGUUUCGGGGUGCUCUUAAUCGAGUGUCCCGGGAUGCUGGCAGGUUUACUUUGAAAAAAUUAGAGUGCUCAAAGCAGGCUAUUACGCCUGAAUAUUCGUGCAUGGAAUAAUAGAAUAGGAAGUCGUUUCUAUUUUGUUGGUUUUCGGAAAUCGACUUAAUGAUUAAUAGGGACAGUCGGGGGCAUUUGUAUCCAAACGACAGAGGUGUAAUUCUUGGACCGUUUGAAGACAAACUACUGCGAAAGCAUUUGCCAAGAAUGUUUUCAUUAAUCAAGAACGAAAGUUAAAGGUUCGAAGGCGAUUAGAUACCGCCCUAGUUUUAACCAUAAACGAUGCCAGCUAGCGAUCUGCGGACGUUUUUUUUGUAGACUCCACAGGAAGCUUCCGGGAAACCAAAGCGUUUGGGUUCCAGGGGAAGUAUGGUUGCAAAGCUGAAACUUAAAGGAAUUGACGGAAGGGCACCACCAGGAGUGGAGCCUGUGGCUUAAUUUGACUCAACACGGGAAAUCUCACCAGGCCCGGACACUGGAAGGAUUGACAGAUUGAUAGCUCUUUCUUGAU